Molecule: unclassified non-coding RNA, 212 nt
Filed under: plant metagenome
Description: partial contains small subunit ribosomal RNA and internal transcribed spacer 1
Rfam family: Eukaryotic small subunit ribosomal RNA (bases 1-46)
Source: RNAcentral
AAGUCGUAACAAGGUUUCCGUAGGUGAACCUGCGGAAGGAUCAUUACCGAAGUACAGGCCCUCACGGGCUACACUUCCACCCUUUGUUAACUACACUUUGUUGCUUUGGCGAGACGCCUUCGGGCCACCGGCUUCGGCGGGUGCGCGCUCGCCAGAGACCCCAAAACCCAAACCUUUUUAGUGUCGUCUGAGAACAAGUUUAAUAAUUAAAA